GCGCUCGUAGCUCAGUUGGAUAGAGCAACGGCCUUCUAAGCCGUAGGUCGGAGGUUCGAUUCCUCUCGAGCGUACCA
This 77-nucleotide transfer RNA is filed under the name Bacteroidetes bacterium GWF2_43_11. Its description in RNAcentral is "tRNA-Arg". It matches the Rfam family "tRNA". Rfam says of the family: Transfer RNA (tRNA) molecules are approximately 80 nucleotides in length. Lineage: Bacteria; Pseudomonadati; Bacteroidota. The record is from RNAcentral. RNAcentral also lists the same sequence under 3 other names.